CCUGAGCUUGAUCCUGGCUCAUGGCAAGCGUUGUCCGGCCUGAGCUUGAUCCUGGCUCAGGACGAACGCUGGCGGCGUGCUUAACACAUGCAAGUCGAACGAUGAACCUCCUUCGGGAGGGGAUUAGUGGCGAACGGGUGAGUAACACGUGGGCAAUCUGCCCUGCACUUCGGGACAAGCCCUGGAAACGGGGUCUAAUACCGGAUACUCACCGCCCUCCGCAUGGGGGGUGGUGGAAAGCUCCGGCGGUGCAGGAUGAGCCCGCGGCCUAUCAGCUUGUUGGUGGGGUAGUGGCCCACCAAGGCGACGACGGGUAGCCGGCCUGAGAGGGCGACCGGCCACACUGGGACUGAGACACGGCCCAGACUCCUACGGGAGGCAGCAGUGGGGAAUAUUGCACAAUGGGCGAAAGCCUGAUGCAGCGACGCCGCGUGAGGGAUGACGGCCUUCGGGUUGUAAACCUCUUUCAGCAGGGAAGACAUGUCGAGCAUGUGAUCGCGUAGCUCUCGACGAUGAACGAAGUCACCGUGC
This 531-nucleotide ribosomal RNA is filed under the name Streptomyces sp. M4-C22. RNAcentral's name for it is "bacterial SSU rRNA". It matches the Rfam family "Bacterial small subunit ribosomal RNA", at positions 1 to 508 of the family's 1533-position model. Lineage: Bacteria; Bacillati; Actinomycetota; Actinomycetes; Kitasatosporales; Streptomycetaceae. The record is from RNAcentral.